GAUGAACGCUGGCGGCGUGCCUAAUACAUGCAAGUCGAGCGAACAGACGAGGAGCUUGCUCCUCUGACGUUAGCGGCGGACGGGGGAGUAACACGUGGAUAACCUACCUAUAAGACUGGGAUAACUUCGGGAAACCGGAGCUAAUACCGGAUAAUAUAUUGAACCGCAUGGUUCAAUAGUGAAAGACGGUUUUGCUGUCACUUAUAGAUGGAUCCGCGCCGCAUUAGCUAGUAGGUAAGGUAACGGCUUACCAAGGCAACGAUGCGUAGCCGUCCUGAGAGGGUGAUCGGCCACACUGGAACUGAGACACGGUCCAGACUCCUACGGGAGGCAGCAGUAGGGAAUCUUCCGCAAUGGGCGAAAGCCUGACGGAGCAACGCCGCGUGAGUGAUGAAGGUCUUCGGAUCGUAAAACUCUGUUAUUAGGGAAGAACAAAUGUGUAAGUAACUAUGCACGUCUUGACGGUACCUAAUCAGAAAGCCACGGCUAACUACGUG
RNAcentral lists this ribosomal RNA (497 nucleotides) under uncultured bacterium. Its description in RNAcentral is "partial 16S ribosomal RNA". It matches the Rfam family "Bacterial small subunit ribosomal RNA", at positions 28 to 507 of the family's 1533-position model. The record is from RNAcentral.